This 371-nucleotide transfer-messenger RNA is filed under the name Roseibium hamelinense. RNAcentral's name for it is "Alphaproteobacteria transfer-messenger RNA". It matches the Rfam family "Alphaproteobacteria transfer-messenger RNA". Rfam says of the family: Bacterial tmRNA, also known as 10Sa RNA or SsrA, is named for its dual tRNA and mRNA-like properties. Its role is to liberate the mRNA from a stalled ribosome. To accomplish this part of the tmRNA is used as a reading frame that ends in a translation stop signal. The record is from Rfam by way of RNAcentral. Lineage: Bacteria; Pseudomonadati; Pseudomonadota; Alphaproteobacteria; Hyphomicrobiales; Stappiaceae.
GCCCUUUCAAUUUCAAUGAGAAGCGCUUAUAUCAAGCGUGCUGGGCAACCAGCUAUGGCAAUAAAUGGUCAGUGCAAUAAACCUAUCGGACCCGGGGGCGGUACCCGGCGCCUCCACCCAAGCGCAGAACGGCAAAGCCAGAUGGCUUCUGCGUUUCGGCGGGGGCGAAACAGGAUCGACGAGGGCGUAAAGACUGUGCUUUUGCUCGGCAUUGUACCACCGUUAUCGGGCUGUUCUAAUAGUUGCAAACGACAACUAUGCUAUGGACAACGCUGUCGCUGCGUAAUGCAGUGCCAGUAGUCCUUUGAAGCCCUGCUGGAUUAGCACCGGCAGGCGGGGUUCGGAGGCGCCUGGCAACAGAAGCCUCCACU